GAUGAACGCUGGCGGCGUGCUUAACACAUGCAAGUCGAACGAAGCAUUUAGGACAGAUUACUUCGGUUUGAAGUUCUUUAUGACUGAGUGGCGGACGGGUGAGUAACGCGUGGGUAACCUGCCUUGUACUGGGGGAUAGCAGCUGGAAACGGCUGGUAAUACCGCAUAAGCGCACAAUGUUGCAUGACAUGGUGUGAAAAACUCCGGUGGUAUAAGAUGGACCCGCGUCUGAUUAGCUAGUUGGUGAGAUAACAGCCCACCAAGGCGACGAUCAGUAGCCGACAUGAGAGGGUGACCGGCCACAUUGGGACUGAGACACGGCCCAGACUCCUACGGGAGGCAGCAGUGGGGAAUAUUGCACAAUGGAGGAAACUCUGAUGAAGCGACGCCGCGUGAGUGAAGAAGUAAUUCGUUAUGUAAAGCUCUAUCAGCAGGGAAGAUAGUGACGGUACCUGACUAAGAAGCUCCGGCUAAAUACGUG
Molecule: ribosomal RNA, 481 nt
Filed under: uncultured bacterium
Lineage: Bacteria
Description: partial 16S ribosomal RNA
Rfam family: Bacterial small subunit ribosomal RNA
Source: RNAcentral